Molecule: long non-coding RNA, 259 nt
Filed under: Capsicum annuum
Lineage: Eukaryota; Viridiplantae; Streptophyta; Magnoliopsida; Solanales; Solanaceae
Description: long non-coding RNA (CANN_LNC012808)
Source: RNAcentral
ACACUUGGAGAUGCCACCGAGGGAGGGACUGUUGGUUGGAGGGACGGAAAGGACUGUUGGCAGGUGAGGGAGGCGUCGAAGGCAGCCGGGGAGAGGAGAUUCGCCGGUCAGUGGUGGAGCGGAGGCUGGUUCAUCCGGUGGCGGAGGCUAGUUCGUCCGGUGGCGGAGGCUGGUGGCGCUGAAGACCAAGAGCCCACCGGUAAUCACAUCCGACGAGGCUUGUCGACGGGAGAGGAGGAUGGAGGCAGCGGAGCAGCGG